This 612-nucleotide ribosomal RNA is filed under the name Prodinychus sp. AL7170. RNAcentral's name for it is "eukaryotic LSU rRNA". It matches the Rfam family "Eukaryotic large subunit ribosomal RNA", at positions 2290 to 2893 of the family's 3401-position model. The record is from RNAcentral. Lineage: Eukaryota; Metazoa; Arthropoda; Arachnida; Mesostigmata; Urodinychidae.
GCUCGUCAUNUAAUUAGUGACGCGCAUGAAUGGAUUAAUGAGAUUCCUACUGUCCCUACCUACUAUCUAGCGAACCCACUGCCAGGGGAACGGGCCUGGACGUGACUGCGGGGAAAGAAGACCCUUUUGAUCUUGACUCUAGUCUGACGUUGUGAAGGGACAUGAGAGGUGUAGCAUAAGUGGGAGCCAUCCUUGUGGUGGCAACAAUGAAAUACCACUACUCUCAUUGUUUCUUUACUUACUUGGUUAAACGAAACGAAGCUUAUGCUGAAUUUCUAGCGUUUAACUCAUCUUCAUCGAUGCUGUGAUUCGCGCCAAGGACAGCGUCAGGUGGAGAGUUCGGCUGGGGCGGUACAUCUGUCAAAUGGUAACGCAGGUGUCCUAAGGUAAGCUCAGUGAGGACAGAAACCUCGCGUAGAGUAAUAGGGCAAAAGCUUGCUUGAUCUUGAUUCUCAGUACGAAUACAGACCUCGAAAGAGGGGCCCCUCGAUCCUUUUAUUUUUACGAGUUUUAAGUAAGAGGUGUCAGAAAAGUUACCAGAGGGAUAACUGGCUAGUGGCUUCCAAGCGUUCACAGCGACGUANCUUUUUGAUCCUUCGAUGUCNGCUCUUC